RNAcentral lists this ribosomal RNA (1323 nucleotides) under Triticum aestivum (bread wheat). RNAcentral's name for it is "partial small subunit ribosomal RNA". Lineage: Eukaryota; Viridiplantae; Streptophyta; Magnoliopsida; Poales; Poaceae. The record is from RNAcentral.
AUGGAGAUGAAACCCAAAAGGUUUUCGUUGGGGCGUAACCCUCUCAGCGACGCGCCACAUCGGAACCCGGGUGUGGUGGAAAAUGGGCAAGGGUCGGGCCGUCACCCCCCAAGUGGCGCGCCGUAUCUUGAUCCGGAUACGGUGGCAAGUGAGCGAGGAUCGGGUCGUCGCAUCCUUAGUGGCGCGCUACAUCGGCGCCCGGGUGUAGUGGAAAAUGAGCAAGGGUCUUCGCAUUUGACUCGACGAGUGCGAAGGGUAAGGAAGCUAGCCGAGCCUAGGAGGAUUUGCUUAGGUAGCUGGAACGUAGGGUCUCUGACAGGGAAGCUUCGGGACCUAGUUGAUGCAGCGGUGAGGAGAGGUGUUGAUAUCCUUUGCGUCCAAGAAACCAAAUUGAGAGGACAGAAGGCGAAGGAGGUGGAGGAUACCGGCUUCAAGCUGUGGUACACGGGGACGACUGCAAACAGAAAUGGCGUAGGCAUCUUGAUCAACAAGAGCCUCAAGUAUGGAGUGGUAGACAUCAAGAGACGUGGGGACCGGAUUAUCCUGGUCAAGCUGGUAGUUGAGGACUUGGUUCUCAAUGUUAUCAGCGCGUAUGCCCCGCAAGUAGGCCACAAUCAGAACACCAAGAGGGAGUUCUGGGAAGGCCUGGAAGACAUGGUUAGGAGUGUACCGAUUGAUGAGAAGCUCUUCAUAGGAGGAGACCUCAAUGGCCACGUGGGUACAUCUAACACAGGUUUUGAAGGGGCGCAUGGGGGCUUUGGCUAUGGCAUCAAGAAUCAAGAAGGAGAAGAUGUCUUAAGCUUUGCUCUAGCCUACAAUAUGAUUGUAGCUAACACCCUCUUUAGAAAGAGAGAAUCACAUCUAGUGACUUUUAGUAGUGGCCAACACUCUAGCCAGAUUGAUUUCAUCCUCUCGAGAAGAGAAGAUAGGCGUGCGUGCCUAGGCUGUAAGGUGAUACCUGGAGAGAGUGUUGUACCCCAGCAUAAGCUUGUGGUUGCUGACUUCCGCUUUCGGAUUCGUGUCCAGCGGGAUAAGUGUGCCAAAGUCGCUAGAACGAAGUGGUGGAAGCUCAAGGGGGAGGUAGCUCAGGUGUUCAAGGAGAGGGUCAUUAAGGAGGGCCCUUGGGAGGAAGGAGGGGAUGCGGACAAUGUGUGGAUGAAGAUGGCGGCUUGCAUUCGAAAGGUGGCCUCGGAGGAGUUUGGAGUGUCCAGGGGAAGGAGAAGCAAAGAUAAGGAUACCUGGUGGUGGAAUGAUGACGUCCAGAAGGCGAUUAAAGAGAAGAAAGAUUGCUUCAGACGCCUAUACCUGGAUAGGAGUGCAGAC